AGAGUUUGAUCAUGGCUCAGGAUGAACGCUAGCGAUAGGCCUUACACAUGCAAGUCGAGGGCAGCACAUAAAUUGUAGCAAUACGAUUUGGUGGCGACCGGCGCACGGGUGAGUAACGCGUAUGCAACCUACCUACUACUUUGGCAUAGCUCGUUGAAAGACGAAUUAAUACCUCAUAAAACAGGGGCUCCGCAUGGAGAUAUUUGUUAAAGAUUUAUCGGUAGUAGAUGGGCAUGCGUUCCAUUAGUUAGUUGGCGAGGUAACGGCUCACCAAGACAACGAUGGAUAGGGGAACUGAGAGGUUUAUCCCCUACACUGGAACUGAGACACGGUCCAGACUCCUACGGGAGGCAGCAGUGAGGAAUAUUGGUCAAUGGAGGCAACUCUGAACCAGCCAAGUCGCGUGAAGGAUGACGGCCCUACGGGUUGUAAACUUCUUUUUAAGGGAAUAAAGUGAGCCACGUGUGGCUUUUUGCAUGUACCUUACGAAUAAGGAUCGGCUAACUCCGUG
This 511-nucleotide ribosomal RNA is filed under the name uncultured bacterium. RNAcentral's name for it is "bacterial SSU rRNA". It matches the Rfam family "Bacterial small subunit ribosomal RNA", at positions 8 to 507 of the family's 1533-position model. The record is from RNAcentral.